CUACGGGAUGCACCAGUGAGGAAUAUUGCACAAUGGGGGGAACCCUGAUGCAGCAACGCCGCGUGGAGGAUGACGCAUUUCGGUGUGUAAACUCCUUUUAUAUGUCAAGAAAAUGACGGUAGCAUAUGAAUAAGCGCCGGCUAACUCCGUGCCAGCAGCCGCGGUAAUACGGAGGGCGCAAGCGUUACUCGGAAUCACUGGGCGUAAAGGACGCGUAGGCGGGUUGAAAAGUCAGGGGUGAAAGCCUACAGAUUAACUGUAGAACUGCACUUGAAACUCUCAAUAUAGAGUAUGGGAGGGGCAGAUGGAAUUAGUGGUGUAGGGGUAAAAUCCGUAGAUAUCACUAGGAAUACCUAAAGCGAAGGCGAUCUGCUGGAACAUUACUGACGCUAAGGCGUGAAAGCGUGGGGAGCAAACAGGAUUAGAUACCCUUGUAGUC
This 439-nucleotide ribosomal RNA is filed under the name uncultured bacterium. Its description in RNAcentral is "partial 16S ribosomal RNA". It matches the Rfam family "Bacterial small subunit ribosomal RNA", at positions 339 to 795 of the family's 1533-position model. The record is from RNAcentral.